RNAcentral lists this ribosomal RNA (614 nucleotides) under uncultured bacterium. Its description in RNAcentral is "bacterial SSU rRNA". It matches the Rfam family "Bacterial small subunit ribosomal RNA", at positions 163 to 774 of the family's 1533-position model. The record is from RNAcentral.
UUAAUACCCUAUAGUAAUGUUGGGUGGCAUCACCUGGUAUUUAAAGAUUUAUCACUUAAAGAUGGCUGUGCGGCUGAUUAGGUAGUUGGUGUAGGUAACGGCUCACCAAGCCAUCGAUCAGUAACUGGUGUGAGAGCACGACCAGUCACACGGGCACUGAGACACGGGCCCGACUCCUACGGGAGGCAGCAGUAAGGAAUAUUGGUCAAUGGACGCAAGUCUGAACCAGCCAUGCCGCGUGAAGGAUGAAGGCCCUCUGGGUUGUAAACUUCUUUUAUCUGGGAAGAAAUGCUUGUUUUCAAACGAGUUUGACGGUACCAGAGGAAUAAGCACCGGCUAACUCCGUGCCAGCAGCCGCGGUAAUACGGAGGGUGCAAGCGUUAUCCGGAUUCACUGGGUUUAAAGGGUGCGUAGGUGGGAAUGUAAGUCAGUGGUGAAAUCUCCGUGCUUAACAUGGAAACUGCCAUUGAUACUAUGUUUCUUGAAUUUUCUGGAGGUUAGCGGAAUAUGUCAUGUAGCGGUGAAAUGCUUAGAUAUGACAUAGAACACCAAUUGCGAAGGCAGCUAGCUACAGGGAUAUUGACACUGAGGCACGAAAGCGUGGGGAUCAAACA